Molecule: transfer RNA, 73 nt
Filed under: Deltaproteobacteria bacterium
Lineage: Bacteria; Pseudomonadati; Myxococcota; Myxococcia
Description: tRNA-Ala
Rfam family: tRNA
About the family: Transfer RNA (tRNA) molecules are approximately 80 nucleotides in length. Their secondary structure includes four short double-helical elements and three loops (D, anti-codon, and T loops).
Source: RNAcentral
GGGGCUGUAGCUCAGCAGGGAGAGCGCCAGCUUUGCAAGCUGGAUGUAGUCGGUUCGAGCCCGAUCAGCUCCA